AUGGUUUCUUCGGGCAAGAGAACUAAGGAAGAUGGUGCAUCCGCGGGUGCGGCGGAAACGGAUCUAGCGGCAAUGAUGGAAGAAUUGGGUCUGAAGGAAGACGAUCUGCAGGACGUAGUGGUGGAGGAGGAUGAACUUCCAGCUGAAGCAACCCGCUGGAUGGCUCUGGCUAGGGUUCAUACGGAGAAAUCUUACAGCCAGUAUUGGUUCUACAGGAACAUGCGGGUCGCAUGGGAUCUGGCGAAGGAAGUUAAAAUCAGACCUCUGGAGGAUAACUUGUAUACGUUACAGUUCGCGUGCCUUGGCGAUUGGGAGCGUGUAAUGGAGGAGGGUCCGUGGACUUUCAAGGGCAAAGCGGUGAUCUUGGCACCCUAUGAUGGUUUCACUAAACCCUCCUUGAUCGAUCUCACCAAACUGGACAUAUGGAUGCAGAUCCACGACCUUCCGGAUGGUUUCUUCCCUAAGAUCAAAGCGCUCUCGGCGACGGUUGGAGAGUUCAUUUACGCUGAGCCGAAGUCCCAAGAUUUUGAGGGGGACUUUGCACGGGUGAGGGUGAAGAUUGAUGUAACAAAGCCACUAAAGAAUGCAGUUUCUCUGGUUAUCAAGAAGAAGGAUGUGAUGCAGCGAGUGAUCUUCCAGGUGAAAUUCGAGAGGCUCCCGGAUUGGUGUGCGGUAUGUGGUUAUCUGGGGCAUCUGUCUAAGGAAUGUGGUGACGGUGUUUGGGCACCAAAAGCACUAGUUUUUAAGGAUCUGAAAGCUAGCUGGAUUAGAGGCCCGGGCAGCGGUCUUGGUUAA
This 795-nucleotide ribosomal RNA is filed under the name Triticum aestivum (bread wheat). RNAcentral's name for it is "partial small subunit ribosomal RNA". Lineage: Eukaryota; Viridiplantae; Streptophyta; Magnoliopsida; Poales; Poaceae. The record is from RNAcentral.